UGCCGGCGGUGGAGCGGGAGGUGGUGGAGGAGGUGAUGCCGGUGCCAAUGGGCAGGCCGGUUUUGGUUUUGGAGCGAACGGCGGUGGUAGCGGAAGCGCCGGCGCCGGUGCCGGUGGAAAGUGAUAUUGUAUGAGCAAAUCAUGAGAUACGAAGAACACUUCCGAUGUCAGUAGUUUCCUAAUUCGUUUUUAUAAUUUCUGAAAUCAUUGUACUACUAUAAAUAUAUAGAAAAUGGUAAUCAUUCCUAAUAGACAAUAUUAAAUAAAUUGUACCAA
This is a long non-coding RNA of Hyposmocoma kahamanoa, 276 nucleotides long. RefSeq lists it as uncharacterized. The transcript is spliced from 3 exons. Lineage: Eukaryota; Metazoa; Arthropoda; Insecta; Lepidoptera; Cosmopterigidae. The record is from RefSeq and is a predicted model, not a curated record.